Molecule: ribosomal RNA, 256 nt
Filed under: uncultured Pseudomonas sp.
Lineage: Bacteria; Pseudomonadati; Pseudomonadota; Gammaproteobacteria; Pseudomonadales; Pseudomonadaceae
Description: partial 16S ribosomal RNA
Rfam family: Bacterial small subunit ribosomal RNA
Source: RNAcentral
CGGCGGACGGGUGAGUAAUGCCUAGGAAUCUGCCUGGUAUGGGGGACAACGUUUCGAAAGGAACGCUAAUACCGCAUACGUCCUACGGGAGAAAGCAGGGGACCUUCGGGCCUUGCGCUAUCAGAUGAGCCUAGGUCGGAUUAGCUAGUUGGUGAGGUAAUGGCUCACCAAGGCGACGANCCGUAACUGGUCUGAGAGGAUGAUCAGUCACACUGUAACUGAGACACGGUCCAGACUCCUACGGGAGGCAGCAGGG